Molecule: microRNA precursor, 82 nt
Filed under: Ictidomys tridecemlineatus (thirteen-lined ground squirrel)
Lineage: Eukaryota; Metazoa; Chordata; Mammalia; Rodentia; Sciuridae
Description: miRNA (ENSSTOG00000019973.1)
Source: RNAcentral
CCAUGUCCCUUCUUUGGACAGGCUUUGCUCUGAGAUAGAGGCUGGUUUUUCACAAGGACUUGGGAGGCUGAGGCAGGAGGAU